GUGCCAGCCGCCGCGGUAAUACCGGCAGCUCGAGUGAUGACCGCUGUUAUUGGGCCUAAAGCGUCCGUAGCUGGCCAUGCAAGUUCGUCGGGAAAUCCAUCAGCUCAACUGAUGGGCGUCCGGCGAAAACUGCAUGGCUUGGGACCGGAAGGCUCGAAGGGUACGUUCGGGGUAGGAGUGAAAUCCUAUAAUCCCGCACGGACCACCGAUGGCGAAAGCACUUCGAGAAAACGGAUCCGACAGUGAGGGACGAAAGCCAGGGUCUCCAACCGGAUUAGAAACCCGAGUAGUCC
Molecule: ribosomal RNA, 293 nt
Filed under: uncultured bacterium
Lineage: Bacteria
Description: partial 16S ribosomal RNA
Rfam family: Archaeal small subunit ribosomal RNA
Source: RNAcentral